UAAUACGUAGGUGGCGAGCGUUAUUCGGAUUCACUGGGCGUAAAGGGUCCGUAGGGGGUCUGCCAAGUCCGAUGUGAAAGCCCACGGCUCAACUGUGGAACGGCAUUGGAUACUGGCGGGCUGGAGUCUGCGAGGGGUGAGCGGAAUUCCUGGUGUAGCGGUGGAAUGCGUAGAUAUCAGGAAGAACACCGAUGGCGAAGGCGGCUCACUGGCGCAGUACUGACCCUGAGGGACGAAAGCGUGGGUAGCAAACAGG
This 256-nucleotide ribosomal RNA is filed under the name uncultured bacterium. RNAcentral's name for it is "partial 16S ribosomal RNA". It matches the Rfam family "Bacterial small subunit ribosomal RNA", at positions 521 to 776 of the family's 1533-position model. The record is from RNAcentral.